CCUACGGGGGGCUGCAGUGGGGAAUAUUGCACAAUGGGCGCAAGCCUGAUGCAGCCAUGCCGCGUGUGUGAAGAAGGCCUUCGGGUUGUAAAGCACUUUCAGCGGGGAGGAAGGCGUUAAGGUUAAUAACCUUGUCGAUUGACGUUACCCGCAGAAGAAGCACCGGCUAACUCCGUGCCAGCAGCCGCGGUAAUACGGAGGGUGCAAGCGUUAAUCGGAAUUACUGGGCGUAGAGCGCACGCAGGCGGUCUGUCAAGUCGGAUGUGGAAUCCCCGGACUCAACCUGGGAACUGCAUUCGAAACUGGCAGGCUAGAGUCUUGUAGAGGGGGGUAGAAUUCCAGGUGUAGCGGUGAAAUGCGUAGAGAUCUGGAGGAAUACCGGUGGCGAAGGCGGCCCCCUGGACAAAGACUGACGCUCAGGUGCGAAAGCGUGGGGAGCAAACAGGAUUAGAUACCCCAGUAGUC
This 465-nucleotide ribosomal RNA is filed under the name uncultured Klebsiella sp. Its description in RNAcentral is "bacterial SSU rRNA". It matches the Rfam family "Bacterial small subunit ribosomal RNA", at positions 338 to 795 of the family's 1533-position model. The record is from RNAcentral. Lineage: Bacteria; Pseudomonadati; Pseudomonadota; Gammaproteobacteria; Enterobacterales; Enterobacteriaceae.